UCGAACGGAACUGUUUUGAAGAUUUCUUCGGAAUGAAUUUAAUUUACUUUAGUGGCGGACGGGUGAGUAACGCGUGAGUAACCUGCCUUCAAGAGGGGGAUAACAUUCUGAAAAGAAUGCUAAUACCGCAUGACAUAUCGGAACCACAUGGUUUUGAUAUCAAAGAUUUUAUCGCUUGAAGAUGGACUCGCGUCCGAUUAGUUAGUUGGUGAGGUAACGGCUCACCAAGACCGCGAUCGGUAGCCGGACUGAGAGGUUGAACGGCCACAUUGGGACUGAGACACGGCCCAGACUCCUACGGGAGGCAGCAGUGGGGGAUAUUGCGCAAUGGGGGCAACCCUGACGCAGCAACGCCGCGUGAAGGAUGAAGGUUUUCGGAUUGUAAACUUCUUUUAUUAAGGACGAAAAAUGACGGUACUUAAUGAAUAAGCUCCGGCUAACUACGUGCCAGCAGCCGCGGUAAUACGUAGGGAGCAAGCGUUGUCCGGAUUUACUGGGUGUAAAGGGUGCGUAGGCGGCUUUGCAAGUCAGAUGUGAAAUCUAUGGGCUCAACCCAUAAACUGCAUUUGAAACUGUAGAGCUUGAGUGAAGUAGAGGC
This 598-nucleotide ribosomal RNA is filed under the name uncultured bacterium. RNAcentral's name for it is "bacterial SSU rRNA". It matches the Rfam family "Bacterial small subunit ribosomal RNA", at positions 62 to 658 of the family's 1533-position model. The record is from RNAcentral.